This is a long non-coding RNA of Onychostoma macrolepis, 1012 nucleotides long. RefSeq lists it as uncharacterized. The record is from RefSeq and is a predicted model, not a curated record. NCBI's taxonomy places the organism in Eukaryota, Metazoa, Chordata, Actinopteri, Cypriniformes, Cyprinidae. The transcript is spliced from 4 exons.
UCGCAUACAUUUUAACAUUUUAUCUGUUAUUCCUCUUUUGUAACAGCAUGCGUUUGAUCACCGUUUUCUUACUUCAUCGCUGCCUGAUGAAGAAAUGAAGGAAUGUCACAACUUUACUGACAGAGAAGAAAGCACAACCUGAUAUUGCCAAGUGCAAUGUGUUCCUGGGUCAACAUAUUUUGUUGACCCUGGAACAACAUUUUAAUCCAAAAAUAUAAUCUUAACCAUAUUCCUACACCUAAACCUAACCUUACCCAUGAGUAAUCCCUAAAAUCAGAGGAACUGAUAGAUGAAUUACACUGAUGUACAAGCACCAAACACUGAUUGUAAUCCUAAACUUCACAAAAAUUAUAAACUGGUUCUUGAAAUCUGAUUGGUUAAUCACAAUGUUGUUCCAGGGUCAACAAAGAUGUUGACCCAGGAACACGUUGCACUUGGCAAUAUCAGGUUUGGCGAGGAGAAAACAGUUUUGGCAAAAAUUUGUGCAGAAUUUGAGACGGAGAGAAUUAUGAUGGGACCAUUAGUGUCAGCAGUCUUUGCCAAAAUGGAUCCACACUGCAAAACAUAUGAAGAUGUUUGCAAAUCGAAGAAGAGUCCUUGGACAAGGAAUUAAACCCUCUUGGUGCCCAUUACACAGACUAAUGACAUUGAAGUACCCGAUUGAAGACCCUAGCAGUCUUAUUAUGGAGUAUAUGGAUACAGAUGCUGCCAGCACUCAGGAGGUGAUCCAGAAGACCCAUGGGAAUCUGAUAUGUCAUAAGAUUUGAAGGUGCAGACAAUGAAGACAGCCCAGCAGAUGUUGGAGGGUUGGAAGAUAAAGUUCUUCAGGACCCUAGCAGUAUACCCCAUGCAAAACCAUGUUUCUGGGACUGAUAUAUGGACUGAACUUGAGCAACCCUCCUGACCUCAGGUACACAUUUGGAGUACUGCAGAAGUUAUUUCUGGAGCCAGUUCCUGUUCCUGGAAUAAGGUUUGAUUGGUUGUCUUUAAAUGCCAAUUAGAAAAUGACAGU